CACGCCGAUCUGGUUUGCUUUUGAUGCAUUGACGUUUGAUAACCGCGUGAGUCUAGAGCCAAAGCAACAAUUUUUCUUUUCGAACUUUAACCGGUGCGUAUAGCAAUGCAUCGAAUCAGGUGAGGCCUCAUUAGGACUCGGCUCUUGUGUGUUUUGCGUGUUUUGCAGUGAUGAACUACCUUUCUGAUCUCUUUCGUGACUCUACCGCGUCAUUUUGAGUGAUGAUUUAACAUUGAGACUUGACAGACGUCAAAUGCGGGUACAAACGUGCGUACGUAAUCUAUGAUGCGUGUUCUGUGUGGUACGCACUUACCAAAUGGUUUGGUUUGUACUUCCUGAAUACUCCCUAGAAAGUGCGGUGUUUAGGGAAUGACUGACGUGAAGAGGAAGUCAUUAGACAAGUCUGGUGGUACUGAGAGUUGCCGUGCCAUCAUGGUUAUUUGCUGUGUUCCUGGAUGUACCAAUGUAUCUGCAAAGGGGAAAUAUUUAAAGUUGCACAUGGAAAUUUUUGUCACAUUGAUAAACUUUAUUGCCAUUUGAAUGACUUUGAUUGGUGGUCGCCAAGGGAUACUCUACAUCGAAGUCUACCACAGUCAUUUAGAGAGACUUUCCUGAAAAAAGACCUGCAUCACUGAUGCAACAGAACUAUUUACAGAACGUCAUUCAGAUAGGGGUUUGCAAUCAUCUUCCUUCUUCAAAUACAAACACCACCACACUGUGAAAGCAUUGGUUGCAAUAUCGCCAUGUGGUCAUGUUAUGCUUGUGUCACGACUAUUUACUGGUGCCAUAACAGACAGGGACUUACCAAGCAGUCUGGUUUUCUCAAUAAAUUUGUACCUGGAGAUCAAGUCAUGGCAAACAAAGGGUUUGUUAUUGCUGACAUUCUCAUGGACGUUGGGCAUCUCUUGUGCUACCUCCUUUUCUAAAAGGAGGAGGUCUGUUUACUGAGGAGCGAGUCAUUAAUUAAAUGCCGACAAGUAGCUUCUCUUAGAAUCGACAUAGAGGAGUGAUCAGACGAGUGAUCAGACGGAUAACGAACCAUAGCAUUUUGCAAUGUAUAAAUAACACUUAGUUCAAGCAUGGAUCUUUUGUAUAAGGUAUUCACUGUUUGUUCACAUCUAACAAAUUUGCAUCCACCUCUUGCAUAGAGAAUGUUGCCACGAGUCAGUGUGCAUUGCAAUUAAAACUUCAUACCAUAUUUCAUGUCAACCAGCUUCCUAGAUUUAAUUUUUGUACGGUAAAUUAGUAGUAAUUAGUGUCAUUGAUAUCAAUUUUAGUUUAUAAAGGUCAAUAUAUAUCGGCUCUUGUUAUUAUUCUGUUCUCUUGUGUGUAAUGCUCCAGGAUACACUACCACUUGCUGUUCAAUUUCAUUUUCAUUGUGUACAUCAUUUUUAAUAGUAAUACUCAAUUAUAUUACUACAACAUUAAUUAAUUGUAUUAAUUAACAGAACUUUAUCUACUUGCUACCUAAGGUCCUUUCAUUCCCUAGACGCCGCACGUUCUAGGAAGUAUUCAGUGGGUACAACCAAACCAUUUGGUAA
Corticium candelabrum is the source of this 1541-nucleotide RNA transcript. It is a transcript of the gene named synapse differentiation-inducing gene protein 1-like, with no coding region annotated. The record is from RefSeq and is a predicted model, not a curated record. The transcript is spliced from 2 exons. Lineage: Eukaryota; Metazoa; Porifera; Homoscleromorpha; Homosclerophorida; Plakinidae.